CCUACGGGAGGCUGCAGUGGGGAAUAUUGCGCAAUGGGCGAAAGCCUGACGCAGCGACGCCGCGUGAGGGAUGAAGGUCUUCGGAUCGUAAACCUCUGUCAGCAGGGAAGAACGGUCACUGUGCUAAUCAGCAGUGAAUUGACGGUACCUGCAAAGGAAGCACCGGCUAACUCCGUGCCAGCAGCCGCGGUAAUACGGAGGGUGCGAGCGUUAAUCGGAGUUACUGGGCGUAAAGCGCUCGUAGGCGGUAUGUCCAGUCAAGGGUGAAAUCCCCGCGCCAAACGUGGGAACUGACUUUGAAACGGGAGACUGGAGUGUUGGAGAGGAGAGUGGAAUUCCAGGUGUAGGAGUGAAAUCCGUAGAUAUCUGGAGGAACAACAGUGGCGAAGGCGACUAUCUGGAACAUAACUGACGCUGAGGAGCGAAAGCGUGGGUAGCAAACAGGAUUAGAUACCCGAGUAGUC
RNAcentral lists this ribosomal RNA (464 nucleotides) under uncultured bacterium. RNAcentral describes it as "partial 16S ribosomal RNA". It matches the Rfam family "Bacterial small subunit ribosomal RNA", at positions 338 to 795 of the family's 1533-position model. The record is from RNAcentral.